This is a long non-coding RNA of Heterocephalus glaber (naked mole-rat), 1231 nucleotides long. The record is from Ensembl. NCBI's taxonomy places the organism in Eukaryota, Metazoa, Chordata, Mammalia, Rodentia, Bathyergidae.
AGGCAGACAGCAGAACUACUGAGCUAAAUCCCCGGCCCUCCAGUUAACUUUCAAUUAUUAUAGGGCUCAAAACAUAGGGACAGGUAGUUGGUACCUGAUUUCUGGCAUCUCCAUUCUGAUUUACUGACUGGCAAAAUAUCUGCCUCUCCAGAACUUAAGAUUUCCUCAGACCUUCACUGAGGAUUUCUGAGAGAAAAUUUGGUAUUACACACUGUCCUUGGUGUAGAAACACAAGAGAAAAAAUAAGCAAAGCUGGGCGAGAGGUGUAGCUCAGUAGUAGAGCACUGGGUUAGCAUGUGCAAGGUCUUGGGUUCAAGGUCCAGAAUUGCAAAAUAAUAAUAACACAAUAAGAACAAUAGGGCUAUCAUGGCUUUCCUCACAAUAGCCCGCCCUGUAUCCUUUAGGAUGUGCUUUUAUCUUGCUUUUUGCUCUUUUACUUGGCCCAAGUUUGCUCUGCAGAGCCAGUUUCUCCCUCACUCUUAGCCUUUACAUUUUCAAAUAAACUUUGUCACUGCUUUUUGCUCAUUCCCUUCAACUCUUUGUUCAAGAGGAGAAGAACCUGGAAUCCAACUCCAGGAGAAGUGAGGAACUCAGAACCCGGCUGGCCUUGAACUCACUCUGCAGCCCGGGCUGGCGAUCCUCCUGUCUCAGCCUCCCGAGUGUUAGGAUUACAGACCUGCACUACCAUGCCUGGCGAGGUUUCUUUUAUAUGAAUAACCUCUAGAUGAAGACUUCCUGGUACGAUAGGACGCGUUAUUGGACGUGUCUGUGGAAAUGCGCUAAGGUGUGUGGGUAGCUGAGGUCCCGCAGUCAGCGUAGAGGAGGGGCAUGGCUCUGGGUUCUAAUCCUAACCCCUCUCUGAGACCUCAGAUUUUUCCCUUGAAACAAGGAAAGGAGGUAUCCUAAAGGAGGGUGAAAAGCACAAAUCGCUAGAGGCGCUCUAUAGCUAUAGCUGUAAUAGUUCUUAGGGAGUUUUCACACCCUCGUCUUGGAGACCAUCGGAGGGUCGCCCCGUCAGGUCUAAGAAGUUGUAAGGUGUGGGACAGAGUGGCACGGAGGGCUACUGACCUGAGGCUACGGCUAGGACUCUUUCCGCGCUCUGCUGGGUCGACUCGCAGGCUCUGCGCCCCGCGCGCAGGGAUAGACGCGCGCGCCCGCCCGCCCAGGGCGCUUUCCGCAUCACCUCAGAUUGCUCGCCAAGGCCUGCACGGUAGGCGGCGCUACAGAGGGG